UUCGUAGGUGGCCAACUAAGCCAGACGUGAAAUCCCUCAGCUUAACUGGGGAACUGCGUCUGGGACUGGAUGGCUUGAGUGCAGGAGAGGAACGCGGAAUUCCAGGUGUAGCGGUGAAAUGCGUAGAUAUCUGGAGGAACACCGGUGGCGAAGGCGGCGUUCUGGACUGCAACUGACACUGAGGAACGAAAGCCAGGGAGCAAACG
Molecule: ribosomal RNA, 206 nt
Filed under: uncultured bacterium
Lineage: Bacteria
Description: partial 16S ribosomal RNA
Rfam family: Bacterial small subunit ribosomal RNA
Source: RNAcentral